GGGUGAGUAACACGUGGGUGAUCUGCCUUGCACUCUGGGAUAAGCUUGGGAAACUGGGUCUAAUACCGGAUAGGAACCGUCUUUAGUGUGGUGGUUGGAAAGUUUUUCGGUGUCAAGAUGAGCUCGCGGCCUAUCAGCUUGUUGGUGGGGUAAUGGCCUACCAAGGCGUCGACGGGUAGCCGGCCUGAGAGGGUGUACGGCCACAUUGGGACUGAGAUACGGCCCAG
RNAcentral lists this ribosomal RNA (227 nucleotides) under uncultured Actinomycetales bacterium. RNAcentral describes it as "partial 16S ribosomal RNA". It matches the Rfam family "Bacterial small subunit ribosomal RNA", at positions 104 to 334 of the family's 1533-position model. Lineage: Bacteria; Bacillati; Actinomycetota; Actinomycetes; Actinomycetales. The record is from RNAcentral.